RNAcentral lists this ribosomal RNA (433 nucleotides) under uncultured bacterium. RNAcentral describes it as "partial 16S ribosomal RNA". It matches the Rfam family "Bacterial small subunit ribosomal RNA", at positions 29 to 507 of the family's 1533-position model. The record is from RNAcentral.
AACGAACGCUGGCGGCAUGCCUAACACAUGCAAGUCGAACGAGGCCUUCGGGUCUAGUGGCGCAAGGGUGCGUAACGCGUGAGAACCUGCCCUUAGGUUCGGAAUAACUUCCCGAAAGGGGUGCUAAUACCGGAUAAUGUCUUCGGACCAAAGAUUUAUCGCCUCUGGAUGGGCCCGCGUUGGAUUAGCUAGUUGGUAGGGUAAAAGCCUACCAAGGCGACGAUCCAUAGCUGGUCUGAGAGGAUGAUCAGCCACACUGGGACUGAGACACGGCCCAGACUCCUACGGGAAGCAGCAGUGGGGAAUAUUGGACAAUGGGCGAAAGCCUGAUCCAGCAAUGCCGCGUGAGUGAUGAAGGCCUUAGGGUUGUAAAGCUCUUUUACCCGGGAUGAUAAUGACAGUACCGGGAGAAUAAGCUCCGGCUAACUCCGUG